RNAcentral lists this ribosomal RNA (305 nucleotides) under uncultured bacterium. Its description in RNAcentral is "bacterial SSU rRNA". It matches the Rfam family "Bacterial small subunit ribosomal RNA", at positions 333 to 635 of the family's 1533-position model. The record is from RNAcentral.
UUGUACCUACGGGAGGCAGCAGUGAGGAAUAUUGGCCAAUGGGCGGUAGCCUGAACCAGCCAAGUAGCGUGAAGGAUGAAGGUUCUAUGGAUUGUAAACUUCUUUCAUAAAGGAAUAAAGUGAGGCACGUGUGCCUUUUUGUAUGUACUUUAUGAAUAAGGAUCGGCUAACUCCGUGGCAGCAGCCGCGGUAAUACGUAGGAUCCGAGCGUUAUCCGGAUUUAUUGGGUUUAAAGGGAGCGUAGAUGGGUUGUUAAGUCAGUUGUGAAAGUUUGCGGCUCAACCGUAAAAUUGCAAUUGAUACUG